AUGCUGGCUCACUUUGGAGAGGUUACGGGCCUGCAUACCAACUGCUCCAAAAGCCUAGUUGCCCCAAUCCGGUGUGACAACUUGGAUCUGAAUGAUAUCCUCCUCUCCUUCCAGGCCAACCGCUCAUAUUUCCCUAUGAAAUAUCUGGGUCUGCCAUUGUCGAUCAAAAGAUUAAAUAGAAUCCACUUCCAAUCCCUCGAAGAUAAGAUUGCAGCCCAACUUACGCUAUGGAUGGGCAAACAUGUUGCAUCGCCAUGA
RNAcentral lists this ribosomal RNA (258 nucleotides) under Triticum aestivum (bread wheat). Its description in RNAcentral is "partial small subunit ribosomal RNA". Lineage: Eukaryota; Viridiplantae; Streptophyta; Magnoliopsida; Poales; Poaceae. The record is from RNAcentral.